AGAGUUUGAUCCUGGCUCAGGAUGAACGCUGGCGGCGUGCUUAACACAUGCAAGUCGAACGAACCUUCGGGUUAGUGGCGGACGGGUGAGUAACGCGUGAGAAUCUGCCCUCAGGAGGGGGAUAACGGCUGGAAACGGCCGCUAAUACCCCAUAUGCCGAGAGGUGAAAUGAAUUUCGCCUGAGGAUGAGCUCGCGUCUGAUUAGCUAGUUGGUGGGGUAAGAGCCUACCAAGGCUUCGAUCAGUAGCUGGUCUGAGAGGAUGAUCAGCCACACUGGGACUGAGACACGGCCCAGACUCCUACGGGAGGCAGCAGUGGGGAAUUUUCCGCAAUGGGCGAAAGCCUGACGGAGCAACCCGCGUGAGGGAUGAAGGCCUCUGGGCUGUAAACCUCUUUUCUCAAGGAAGAAGAUCUGGCGGUACUUGAGGAAUAAGCCACGGCUAAUUCCGUGCCAGCAGCCGCGGUAAUACGGGAGUGGCAAGCGUUAUCCGGAAUUAUUGGGCGUAAAGCGUCCGCAGGCGGCCUUGAAAGUCUGCUGUUAAAGCGUGGAGCUUAACUCCAUUUCAGCAGUGGAAACUACAAGGCUAGAGUGUGGUAGGGGCAGAGGGAAUUCCCGGUGUAGCGGUGAAAUGCGUAGAUAUCGGGAAGAACACCAGUGGCGAAGGCGCUCUGCUGGGCCAUAACUGACGCUCAUGGACGAAAGCCAGGGGAGCGAAAGGGAUUAGAUACCCCUGUAGUCCUGGCCGUAAACGAUGAACACUAGGUGUCGGGGGAAUCGACCCCUCCGGUGUCGUAGCCAACGCGUUAAGUGUUCCGCCUGGGGAGUACGCACGCAAGUGUGAAACUCAAAGGAAUUGACGGGGGCCCGCACAAGCGGUGGAGUAUGUGGUUUAAUUCGAUGCAACGCGAAGAACCUUACCAGGGUUUGACAUCCUGCCAAUCCCUUGGAAACGAGGGAGUGCCUUCGGGAGCGCAGUGACAGGUGGUGCAUGGCUGUCGUCAGCUCGUGUCGUGAGAUGUUGGGUUAAGUCCCGCAACGAGCGCAACCCACGUCUUUAGUUGCCAGCAUUCAGUUGGGCACUCUAGAGAGACCGCCGGUGAUAAACCGGAGGAAGGUGUGGAUGACGUCAAGUCAUCAUGCCCCUUACAUCCUGGGCUACACACGUACUACAAUGCUACGGACAAAGGGCAGCAAACUCGCGAGAGCUAGCAAAUCCCAUAAACCGUGGCUCAGUUCAGAUCGUAGGCUGCAACUCGCCUACGUGAAGGAGGAAUCGCUAGUAAUCGCAGGUCAGCAUACUGCGGUGAAUACGUUCCCGGGCCUUGUACACACCGCCCGUCACACCAUGGAAGUUGGCCACGCCCGAAGUCGUUACUCCAACCCGCAAGGGAGGAGGAUGCCGAAGGUGGGGCUGAUGACUGGGGUGAAGUCGAAACAAGGUA
RNAcentral lists this ribosomal RNA (1443 nucleotides) under metagenome. RNAcentral describes it as "bacterial SSU rRNA". It matches the Rfam family "Bacterial small subunit ribosomal RNA". The record is from RNAcentral.